This 602-nucleotide ribosomal RNA is filed under the name Lycoprogenthes sp. UPOL A00541. RNAcentral's name for it is "partial 16S ribosomal RNA". It matches the Rfam family "Bacterial large subunit ribosomal RNA", at positions 1822 to 2714 of the family's 2925-position model. Lineage: Eukaryota; Metazoa; Arthropoda; Insecta; Coleoptera; Lycidae. The record is from RNAcentral.
CAUGUUCUUUUGUUUAUAAUUUAAGAUUUGAUCUGCUCAGUGUAUUAAUAAAUAGCCGCAGUAUUUUGACUGUGCGAAGGUAGCAUAAUAAAUAGUUUUUUAAAUGGAAACUUGAAUGAAAGAUUGGACGAGAUUAUUACUGUCUCUAUUUAAAUUUUAUUGAACUUUAUUUUUAAGUUAAAAAGCUUAAAUUAAAAUAAAAGACGAGAAGACCCUAUAGAGUUUAAUAUAAUCAAUUGAAUGUAUUUUGGUAGAAAUUUUUAAUUAGUUGUAUUUGGUUGGGGUGACUUAAAGAUUAAAUUAAUUCUUUAAAAUUUUAGUUAAUAAUUUUUAAAUUUUUUAUGUUAAAUUUAAAAUAUAAUAUAAAUUACCUUAGGGAUAACAGCGUAAUUUUACUUUAAAGUUCUUAUUAUAAGUAAGGUUUGCGACCUCGAUGUUGGAUUAAAAUUAAUUUUUGGUGCAGUAGCUUAAAAAUUAGGUCUGUUCGACCUUUAAAAUUUUACAUGAUCUGAGUUUAGACCGGUGUGAGCCAGGUCGGAUUCUAUCUUUAGUUAUUAAAUAUAUUUUAGUACGAAAGGACCCAGUAUAUAUUUUAUAAAUUG